CUCGAGUGCUUGCUUGCUUCUUCACUUUUCGCCGUGUUAAGAGCACUCCAACUUGUGCUCACACGCUUACCAUCAAAGCGAUCGGUCAUCUAAAACUCAAACACUUCAGAGAAACAAGAU
This is a long non-coding RNA of Sinocyclocheilus grahami, 120 nucleotides long. RefSeq lists it as uncharacterized. The record is from RefSeq and is a predicted model, not a curated record. The transcript is spliced from 3 exons. NCBI's taxonomy places the organism in Eukaryota, Metazoa, Chordata, Actinopteri, Cypriniformes, Cyprinidae.